CCUACGGGUGGCAGCAGUGAGGAAUAUUGGUCAAUGGGCGAGAGCCUGAACCAGCCAAGUCGCGUGAGGGAGUACUGCCCUAUGGGUUGUAAACCUCUCUUGUCGGGGAGCAAAAGCCGGACGUGUCCGGCUGUGCGAGUACCCGAAGAAAAAGCAUCGGCUAACUCCGUGCCAGCAGCCGCGGUAAUACGGAGGAUGCGAGCGUUAUCCGGAUGUAUUGGGUUAAAAGGGUGCGCAGGCGGAUUUUUAAGUCAGCGGUCAAAUCGUGGGGCUCAACCCCAUCCAGCCGUUGAAACUGGGGAUCUAGAGUGUGCGAGAGGUAUGCGGAAUGCGUGGUGUAGCGGUGAAAUGCAUAGAUAUCACGCAGAACCCCGAUUGCGAAGGCAGCCUUCCGGCGCCCUACUGACGCUGAGGCACGAAAGUGCGGGGAUCGAACAGGAUUAGAUACCCCGGUAGUC
Molecule: ribosomal RNA, 458 nt
Filed under: uncultured bacterium
Lineage: Bacteria
Description: partial 16S ribosomal RNA
Rfam family: Bacterial small subunit ribosomal RNA
Source: RNAcentral